AUUUAAGAUGUCAUCACCUGUAGGCCGGAAGAAGCAACGCGGGGCCUAGGUGACGUAGAAACUUUGGUCCUCAGCUCCUGAGCAGUCUCGAAUCCCAGGCGAUUUCAAACUCAACACUAGCACUCUGGGCAAGUUCGUCUAGGUCCCGGGGCCGCUAGAGCGCAGCGUUUGCCCCUCAAUCUGCGCGCGCCACCGGAAGCUCCACCCUCUUUACCAAGGUCCAGCCCCCUACGCCAGUGUGUCCCGCCCCUCCCCCGGCCGACCGCCAACGACGCCAGAGCCGGAAAUGACGACAUCAGCGAAGCUUUUUGGGCGGGGCCUGGGCCGGGCAGCUUUAGAGGCCGCGAUUUCACAUCGGAAACAAAACAGCGGCUGCUCGGGAAGGAGGUUUCCCUGCGAGCGGCGGGUGGCGGCGGCAAGGGAAGAGUAGACGUAAUCCGGAAGCCCACAAGUGACAGCCUUCGAGGUCCUUAGAAAGCUUGGCCUGGAGAAGAACACAUGAAAGAAAGAACCCCAAGAGGCUUUGUUUUCUGUGAAAAAGU
RNAcentral lists this long non-coding RNA (542 nucleotides) under Neogale vison (American mink). RNAcentral's name for it is "Neovison vison (American mink) lncRNA (ENSNVIG00000007838.1)". Lineage: Eukaryota; Metazoa; Chordata; Mammalia; Carnivora; Mustelidae. The record is from RNAcentral.